AAAUUAAAUAAUGAAAAAAUGCAUAUAAAAUGAAAUAAAAUAUUUAUUUCUUUAUUAGAUAUAACAUAUACAUUUACAAAAACUAAAACACAUAUACACACGUACAUAUGUAUACAUACACUUUUAUAAAAGUGCAGUCGUGCUUAAACAAAAAAAAAAAAAACUUAAACAUGCACCCAAACCCAUAUUGUAACUGACAAGUCAAAGAAACGCAACAACAAAACAAAUCAAAACAAAGAGAAUUUUGCACAAAAGAGAAAGAGACAAAUAAAAGAAGCACAGACACACAAAAACAACAAUAAAAAUGCACAAAUACAAAUGUAACGCAUAAUAAAUAUAUGCAGAAGACUCUCAAGUUGGCAAAAGUAAAAGUCGCUUUUACGUUGUGUUGCAAAAGAACAAAAAAGAAGCCAACAACUUUACAACUGCAACAAAAACAAUAGUCAAGACUAGAAAAAAUAAACUAAUCACAACAGAAAGCAGCAACAACAGCAACAAGGAGUGACAUCCUUGCACAAGUUCUUUUUAGUUAUUUUGCGUAUUUCUCGUACUCACUCACUCGCUCUCACUCUCUCUCUCUCUCUCUAUCUGUCCUGCUUAACAUAUAAUAAAAUAUUUAGCUAUACUUGAAUCCAACACCAACUCAUAGCAAAGAAAAUAAGAAAGAAAAUACAAAAAACCCAGACAUAAAUUUAAUACAACAACUGCAAAAUAUAUAUAAAUGAACAAAAAUAAAAUACAUAAUAAAAAGGUUUUGCGUAACUUAAAUUUUUAAUAAACACCACAGCACAACCAAAUGUGCAGUCUGACUGACGCACAGUCUUUAGAGUCGACGGUCAGAAAGACUAACAGACAAAAAAACUAAAAAAAACAACCAACAAAACCCAACUUACAACAUUCAAACAACACAAAACCAAAAAAAGAGGGAAACGGAAACAAGCCAUAAUAAAAAAAAAACGUUACAUACAAACAGAAGCAGCCACCGCAAUGUAAAUUAUUAAAAGACAAUCUUAUGAAACCUGUAUCUGUCCAGAAGUAAGAACUGAAAAUCAAAUUACCCUACGAAACAAAAAAAAAAACAGCAAAAGAAAUAACAACAAUAAAGAAACUACAACUGCAGCAAAAUAAACUACUACAACGAAGCAAACUAUAAACAUCAUUCAACAAAUUGUAUCGUAUAUAGAGCAAAACUAAAUCCUUUUAAGGAUAUUCAAGCAUUAAAUUAGUCUUCAGUGGUAUAAAAAGAAAGAGAAAGAAAAUAUAUAAAUAAUAGAAAAAAAAUCAAUUUAGCGGAAGUGUUAAACGGGAAGAACUGCAAAUAUCACAAGAAUCAGAGGCAGUAGAGGCAACAUAAGCAGUCUGUAGUUUCCGUUUUGCACAAAUGUGAACGUUGUUAAAUGCGUGUGAAUGGCUGUAGUGUUAAUGUAUGUGUGCCAUUUUUCUUAAAAGUGUAUUUAGUGUAAAACAAAAACACACUUUUCUCUCAAGAAACAUGUCGAAUUUAAUUUUUAUGGAUGAAUCGAAUGGCAAUGGUGGUUAUGUAACUUCUACAACUACGACAUCAGCAGCAGCAGGCGCCGUCGCAAGCGUUAGCAGAACAAUAAAUAAUACAAAUAUUAAAAAUAACAAUAAUAACAUUUCCAACAACAUUAAUAUUAACAUCAACAACAACAAUUACAAUAACAACAACUGUAAUAAUAUCAACAAUAUAAUGGCAGCCGCAUCAAAUGCUGCCACAGCAGCCGCAUCUGCUGCUGCAUCUUGUGUGGGUGGUGUACAACUACCGAAUUCCGUAUCAAAUGAAGAUCUCAGCCAAAGUCUAUCGGAGUACACAGAUGCCGACGAAAGCAUAUCAGCACCAACCGAAUUUUUAGCAGAGUUUCUAUCUGCUGUCAUGCUCAAGGAUUACAAGAAAGCUUUAAAAUACUGCAAACUGAUUUUACAAUAUGAACCAGAUAAUUCCACAGCAAAAGAGUUUUAUCCCCUGAUAUUGGAUAAAUUAAGGGGUACCAAUACAUCUAGUGACAGCGAUGAAAAUUAUAAUAAAUCGUCAUCAUCACCUGAAUUAAUAUUAGAGGCACCAUCAUCAGAUCCUUCGGCUGGGGAGAGUGACGAACAUGAUGAACAAUAUUUAAGACAUAUUAGAGGGGGAGCGUAUAAUAGUGGAAAUGGUGGCGGUGAUAAAGGAUCCGCUGUUAUCAAUACAGAAAAUAAUGAUCCAAAUUCAAAUGUUAGCACCAGUAGUAGUGCAGAAGUUGAAGAAGAGGAUGAAGUGGAGGGUGAUGAAGAGGAAGGCUGUGGUUCUAUGGAUGGCAGUUUAAGUGAAGACGAUGUAGAAGAUGAUGAUGAAGACGAUUGUGAAGAUGACGACGAAGAGGAUGAUGAUGACGAUGACGACGAGGACGUAGAUGAUGAAGAUGACAUUAUGAGCAGUAGUGGUGAUGAUUUACCAGUUGAUGAACAACAAAUACUUGUAGGUGAUGUUUUAGAUUUAGAUGCUUCAUCGGCAAAUGCUUGUGGCGUCGAGGCAGCAAUUAAUAUUUCCAACUCAUCACGCAAUUCAUCAAGCGGUGGCAAAGGGAGCAGUCGCAGUGACAAUACCACACAUUCAUAUUCAAGUCUUUUGCUAGAGGAAGAAGAUGACAUUGUGCCUGCAAACCUACACUUUCCCAAAGAUUUACAUACCACAGAUUUGGAUGUUAGCAAUGGCAAUAAAGUACCUUCAACCUCUUGUAGUGACUCUGAAUCGCCCACAGAACCUUUGACUCAAAGAUUAGCCGCCAUAUUGCGUUCGAAAUGUGGGGUAUCAAAUACGGGUGGUUAGAAAAAAAAAUAACGAAGAAAAUAAAAACAAUAAAACCAAAACUUGCAAAAGCUCUUUAGCAUGCGAACUCAUUAGAGAUGCUUAUUAAUCACAACAUACAGACAUACAUAGUAUAUUUAUACAAUAAUACUAUAUUUA
Molecule: unclassified non-coding RNA, 2962 nt
Filed under: Lucilia cuprina (Australian sheep blowfly)
Lineage: Eukaryota; Metazoa; Arthropoda; Insecta; Diptera; Calliphoridae
Description: probable serine/threonine-protein kinase DDB_G0267686, transcript variant X9
Source: RNAcentral